RNAcentral lists this ribosomal RNA (753 nucleotides) under Triticum aestivum (bread wheat). RNAcentral's name for it is "partial small subunit ribosomal RNA". Lineage: Eukaryota; Viridiplantae; Streptophyta; Magnoliopsida; Poales; Poaceae. The record is from RNAcentral.
AUGGAGGCACUCCGGGAGGCGACGGCCGAGCUGACGGUGUACGUGCACCCCUCCAACGCCGCCGACGUCCGCCGCGCCGUCUCCCGCCAGCUCAGCACCCUCCUAUUCUCGUAUGAAGAUCGCUUUGAUGGCGUGUUGCUGUCACAUGAAGUUGAAUUCGAAGGUGACAACGAAGAUGACCAAGACAGAAAAGUUGACGGAGAUGGGAAAAAGGUUAUCAAGGCCAAAAUCCUGGAUGGUCUGGUACCAUAUUUUGGCGUACCGGUGACUGCGAACCUGCUGCUGUUUUCUCCCCAGCCAGAGAUGAUACUAGAAGGGAAAGUUGAAAUGCUUGGCAAGGAAUCAAUUCAUGCCAUCGUCCUGGGGGUUUUCUCAGCAGCCAUUAUGUCAGAUGAUAUCCCUGAGACGUUCAAAUUCAAAAGAAGAGGACAUGGAGGAAAAUUUAUAAGCCAGUCGGACAAGCGGCAUGUGAUUAAAAAAGGAAGCAUGAUACGGUUUUCUGUUAAAAGGGUGGACACGGAAAUGAAUUGUCACAUAACUGGAUCUUUGAUGGCGCCUCACACAGGAUGCAUGCGUUGGCUUUCAGUACACGAUGCUGAAUACGCAUCAGAAAUUAGCAGGGGCAAAAGGAAAUCAAGGGAUCACAUUAAGAGCGAGCAGAUUGUACAAGACCGCUCAACUGUGAACAGCGAAGAUGGCAUGGUGAAUUCUGAACGACGACGCAAGUCCCGAAAGAAGACCGUUGAGGAAUAA